AAGCAAUUGCUGAGUUUUAUACCACUUGUGACGUCAGGCCCAAAGGGGAAAUUGACUGAUCGAUUCUUUUAAAACUUAUGCAAAAAAGAAAAAGGAAAGAAAGAAAAAGAAGAGGAAAAAGAAAGAACCAACAACUCUGUUUCUAAGAUUUUAAAGCGAUAGGCAAGUCGGAGAAGCCGAGAUUUAUUCGGGAAAAUCCAGAGCGCGCUAAACCAACCUGGCGUUGGGAAGACCAGCCCGCCUGCUUGGAUGAUGGGACUGUUGAUUCCUUCAAUUAAUGAAAUGCAUUUGGUGUUAAUCAUAUUUAUUUUACUUUAUGGGAGAGGGGGCCGCUAGCAGGGUGCAUUAAAAAAAAAAUAAUAAGAUUCUAAAAAGCCUGCAAAAAGAUCGAAGAGUGAAAACUAUUGUUGGACCGAGUUGGUUUUUACCUCAACAGCGCCACCUUUCGGCAAAGGUCAGUUGAAAUUGAUCCGUGUCCAGUUUUGUUGGUGGAGUGAAAAGCAGCUGGUUUCCCAAGGUGGGAGGAGGAAAGAGGCACAGAAAGUUAGUGUCACUGCAAGAGGAGAACCCGACUUUGUAGAAAAGGGACUGAAGAACGUGCUGGUAGAGGGGGGAAUCCAUUUUCCCCCACUGUCCCUCUUGGUUGUCCACAAAGAGACCAGGGGACACAGAAGCCUUUGGAGAAUAAUUCUGGUUGAGACACUUUUGCAAGUGGAUCCCAUCUACCGGGGCCCCAAACCCUUUAGAAGUGUCAGGAUGGAUUUUCAACGGGCUUUAUGGCAAUAUCAAUAGAAUUAAAGUUACUAGUAAUUCAGUGAUAAAUGAGAUGUCUCUAGUAAGUAAGAUUAAGGGCAGUGCUAUAAAGUUGUUUAUCUGAAAGGUAAUUCUCAGAAAACCUGACUUCUGACACUUAGUCACAUAUUAAACCAGCAUCUUGAACAUUGCACUUCACAGUGCUCCCACCCACCGCCCCGUCCUUUACUAUUUAUGACGGGACCUUAGGUGUCACUCAUUGACUUCACACACCAGGUUAGACUUGAGUUGGUUUCUCUGAUGCUGGAAGCCUUCAGUUUCAGGAGACCCGGGAAUCCCUAAUGAGAGACUCCCCAAAACGUUUGUAGGCACAUCACAACGCUAAAAGGCCAGCGCUGUUGGUAUUUUCCAGAAAAGCACCUUUUCUUUUCAUCAUUACUGCAGAGAAGCUGUUUAUAAGGGUAGUUUUGGUUUUAUGGGAGUACUUUGUAGGCAUGGAAUGAAAUAUGUCUGUAACCAGUUUGGGGAAGAAAGAGUGAGGAUUGUGUCAAUAUUUGUGCAACCUAACAGAAUUCCUUUGCUUUGCUCCUUUUAUACAGUAUUUUCCUUAGUAAUGAAGUAAAGGGAUUACAGCUUAGGUAUUCAGAGGAAAAUCCACUGUUUAAGUCACACAAUCAUAUUAUGUCAUUUAGCAUUGUCCACAGCAAUAGUUUUCUAGGCCUUUUUUUUUAUCAUUAACCACAAAUGUCUGAAGUUUAUAUUUUUCAUGUAAAAAUAUAAAUUUUUGUAUCUAGGAAGAAUUAAUUCCUUCUUUUGCUAUGGUAAUUUUUUUUUUAUCCUUUUGCAUCACAUUUUUGUUAAAAGCUGUAAGAUAUGAUGCCUGUCUCUCAUGAAAGUAUUUUUGGCCAGGAACACUGAAACUGCUACGUUUAUAAAUAAACAACAUUUAUAAACAAAGUUCUCUAAUGACCAAGACCGUGAUACAUAGAUUCAUGGCCGUGUACCUAAUUGUUGCAAUUAUAUAUCAUUUCUAGAAAUUGAAUGCCCAUGUUUGAGCAGCUAAAUGUAUUAUUAUCUGCACAUUUUUUAUGGUUUAUUUUUGUACACUGCUGUCAAGCCAUGGUAUUUUUCUUUCUGUUAUUGCAAAGUCUUUUAUACUCUCCCACUUUAUCUUGAAAAAAGAGAGGAUGAGAAUUAUUUUUUAGAUGGGUAACGGUAGUGCUCUCAAGCUUAUAACUUAAUUCUCACUUUUGUCCUUUUUACUUUAUUAUUUAGUGAUUCACAGGGGUGUCUAAACAUUUACAGUUCUCUGUUAGCAGUGUUUCUUGUAUAACAAUUGAGCUCUCUCAUUUUAAUUAGUACUAUUCAGAUUUUUGAUUCUCUGCAAUUAUAGCAGGCCACAUUUCUUUAGACUUCUUUGCUAACAUUGUUUGUUUCACUUCUAUCCAGGCCAGUCUAAUCCAAAUACAAUAUGAACUGCGUUUCCUUACUGCUUAAUAUCCCCUUGCUAUAUAUAUGCCUGUAAUCUCUGUAGAACAAUAUAGAGUAAUUUAGAAACCAUGCGUUUGUCAUUAUUGACCAAUUCAAAUCAGUAGCAUUAAAGUUUCCGAAAGCAGUGAAUAUUUAUAGAGGAAUUGGUGGGGGGAGGGCAUGGGGUGGAUCAUGCAGAAGACUGCGAAACUGUAACAUCAAAAACACAGUUGUAGUUUCAUGUCAGUUCAUACAUAACAACUUCAUGCAAAAAGAAGAAAAGAAAAAAACCCUG
Equus asinus (donkey) is the source of this 2518-nucleotide long non-coding RNA. The record is from Ensembl. NCBI's taxonomy places the organism in Eukaryota, Metazoa, Chordata, Mammalia, Perissodactyla, Equidae.